GAUAAACGCUGGCGGCGUGCCUAACACAUGCAAGUCGAACGUCCUUUUGUUUUUCGGAACGAGAGGGAGUGGCGGACGGGUGAGUAACACAUGGGUGACCUACCCCACAGUGAGGGAUACCGGCGAGAAAUCGCCGACAAGCCCGCAUGGGUUCGCUCUGGUGGAGUGGAGCGAGCAAAGUUUUCUGCGAAGGAGACGCUGAGGGAUGGGCCUGUGGCCGAUUAGCUGGUUGGUGGGGUAAGAGCCUACCAAGGCGACGAUCGGUAGCUG
This 270-nucleotide ribosomal RNA is filed under the name uncultured bacterium. Its description in RNAcentral is "partial 16S ribosomal RNA". It matches the Rfam family "Bacterial small subunit ribosomal RNA", at positions 28 to 289 of the family's 1533-position model. The record is from RNAcentral.